GUACCAUCAGUAUCUACCUGGAGUUUUAUAGCUGGGGCAUCUUUUUAUCUUUUUUCGAGGAAUCAGUUUGGAGAUGAAGUUGGAAGAGCCUACAAGUCCAC
Molecule: long non-coding RNA, 101 nt
Organism: Copidosoma floridanum
Lineage: Eukaryota; Metazoa; Arthropoda; Insecta; Hymenoptera; Encyrtidae
Source: RefSeq, a predicted model, not a curated record